This 478-nucleotide ribosomal RNA is filed under the name uncultured bacterium. RNAcentral describes it as "partial 16S ribosomal RNA". It matches the Rfam family "Bacterial small subunit ribosomal RNA", at positions 28 to 523 of the family's 1533-position model. The record is from RNAcentral.
GACGAACGCUGGCGGCGUGCUUAACACAUGCAAGUCGAACGGUAAGGCCCUUCGGGGUACACGAGUGGCGAACGGGUGAGUAACACGUGGGUGAUCUACCCUGCACUUCGGGAUAAGCCUGGGAAACUGGGUCUAAUACCGGAUAGGACUCCUGGCUUCAUGGUUGGGGGUGGAAAGCUUUUGCGGUGUGGAAUGGGCCCGCGGCCUAUCAGCUUGUUGGUGGGGUGAUGGCCUACCAAGGCGACGACGGGUAGCCGGCCUGAGAGGGUGACCGGCCACACUGGGACUGAGAUACGGCCCAGACUCCUACGGGAGGCAGCAGUGGGGAAUAUUGCACAAUGGGCGCAAGCCUGAUGCAGCGACGCCGCGUGAGGGAUGACGGCCUUCGGGUUGUAAACCUCUUUCAGCACCGACGAAGCGCAAGUGACGGUAGGUGCAGAAGAAGGACCGGCCAACUACGUGCCAGCCGCCGCGGUAA